UUCUAACCCCUAAAACCCUAAAAUACAACAAAAUCCAAAAUCAAACACCAAAAACAACUGCAAAAAAAACAUAUAAACUUACAACUAUAGAGUGAAAUGUGAACUCAAACACCUUAGAAAAAAUAAAAAACAAAUUGCAGUAAUCAACAAUGGAAUCGGGCCAAGAGAGAGUAUGAGGGUCUGGUUGAACUUAAAAAGAAAGAAAUGGAGGU
Molecule: long non-coding RNA, 212 nt
Filed under: Solanum tuberosum (potato)
Lineage: Eukaryota; Viridiplantae; Streptophyta; Magnoliopsida; Solanales; Solanaceae
Description: long non-coding RNA (STUB_LNC010735)
Source: RNAcentral